This 376-nucleotide unclassified non-coding RNA is filed under the name soil metagenome. Its description in RNAcentral is "partial contains 5.8S ribosomal RNA, internal transcribed spacer 2, and large subunit ribosomal RNA". The stretch from base 1 to 120 matches the Rfam family "5.8S ribosomal RNA", at positions 35 to 154 of the family's 154-position model. The record is from RNAcentral.
GAUGAAGAACGUAGCGAAAUGCGAUAAGUAAUGUGAAUUGCAGAAUUCAGUGAAUCAUCGAAUCUUUGAACGCAUCUUGCGCUCCUUGGUAUUCUGAGGAGCAUGCCUGUUUGAGUGUCAUUAAAUUCUCAACUUCACUGACUUUGAAUUGGUGUGGCUUGGAUUUGGGGGGAAAAUUGUUGUGGGCUUUUUGUAUAGUCUGCUCCCCUGAAAUUGAUUAGCGGUACCUUUGUGGAACUGUCUACAGGUGUGAUAAUUAUCUACAUCUUAGACAUCUGCUGGAAUGCUGCUUUCUAAACCUUACUUGUAUUGACAAUCUUGACCUCAAAUCAGGUAGGACUACCCGCUGAACUUAAGCAUAUCAAUAAGCGGAGGA